RNAcentral lists this transfer RNA (74 nucleotides) under Bangia fuscopurpurea. RNAcentral describes it as "tRNA-Met". It matches the Rfam family "tRNA". Rfam says of the family: Transfer RNA (tRNA) molecules are approximately 80 nucleotides in length. Lineage: Eukaryota; Rhodophyta; Bangiophyceae; Bangiales; Bangiaceae. The record is from RNAcentral.
AAUGACGGUAUAGUUCAGUUGGUCAGAACGACGGAAUCAUAAUCCGUAAGUCGUGGGUUCAAGUCCCUCUGCCG